RNAcentral lists this long non-coding RNA (1263 nucleotides) under Gallus gallus (chicken). RNAcentral's name for it is "lncRNA (ENSGALG00010012636.1)". The record is from RNAcentral. Lineage: Eukaryota; Metazoa; Chordata; Aves; Galliformes; Phasianidae.
AGAACCUCACUGGCUUUGCUCGUGGACUGCGGAUCUCCUGAUGUUUGCAAGGGGAAGAGGACUGCCCGCAGCUUCUGCACCGACACAGUGGUGCCAAUUUGUUAGCAGCUUGGUGACAAGCACAGAUAAGCCCCAGCAAGGAACUGGCCCAUUGCACAAGACCAGCAAAACUGGCUGGUCAGGCCUUUAACCACUCACCCAUGGCCAAAAUGAGCCCUGGACCGUUCCAGCAAACGCAGCAUGACGGCACCGUUGGAGCCGAGCAGAGCCUGCGCCUCAGUGCCCGCAGUGCGAGCUCUGCCUCGAUGGAGAUGCGGAGCAUCAGCCUCAGCCCUUGAGACAGAGCACAAAAAUGCAUGUGGGAACAUUUGGAAAGCGUGCGGGAUGCAUUUCUUCUGCAUGUGUAACAUUUUCUCCGAAUUCAGUUUCACAACCCAGCAUUUCCUUCUGUAAAUAUUUGGACAGAUUUCACAGAGGCUCAAACUCGUAAGAAACAGAAGGAAAAAAAAAAGACGGGAAAGAUAGGAGAGAAAGAGCAGAAAAAGAGAAAGAGGAGAUGGAGGGAAGGAUCAGCGAUGGAAGGUCACAGCAAGCUGUGCGUGAACAGCAUAGAAUUACCGAUGAGUCACACUACGAUGAAAACAGUAUUUUUAAUGCAUUUAAACCCCGAAAUAGAACCUUUUUGCUGGUGUUUGUUGUGCUCGAAGCGCCUCGGGUUCUGCGUGCGAAGGGAUGGCGUACUUUCAUGGAGGACAAGUCCUGGGUAUAGAUGUACUGCUGAGGAACGAGAGGACACGUGGCACCUCCUGGCCUGAAAGCCAAGGGAUGGAGUGCUCUGCUACGGACUGACCCGGCUCUGCUCUGUCCUCGUAGGUGAUGUGCUCCAUCCCUUGGGUCAUUUUUGUGGCCCUCCUCUGGACAACAGGUCCGCAUCUCUCCUGUACUGAGCACUCCACACCUGAACGCAGUGCUCCAGGUGAGGCUUCAAAAGGGCCACAGUUCUCAUGUUCUCAGACUACAGAGUAACGCUGUGCCUUAAGAGUACACUUCAUAAGAAGAUAUAAAAAAUACAGAGCCGUACAAAGGAAGCCAGGCAUGAAGAAGUGCCAGUGUACCUUACAUGAACACGCUCCGUCUGAGCCUCUCAGUAUUCAUCUAUUUUCUGUGCUUUCUUAGAAUGAGCUUCUAAACUGUUUAUAGCCAGUCUUGGUGUUUAAUAUGUAACUGCUAAAAAAGAUCCCCAUAUCAGUAAAUACAGAACUG